ACUCCUACGGGAGGCAGCAGUGGGGGAAUAUUGGACAAUGGGCGAAAGCCUGAUCCAGCCAUGCCGCGUGUGUGAAGAAGGUCUUCGGAUUGUAAAGCACUUUAAGUUGGGAGGAAGGGCAGUAAGUUAAUACCUUGCUGUUUUGACGUUACCAACAGAAUAAGCACCGGCUAACUUCGUGCCAGCAGCCGCGGUAAUACGAAGGGGUGCAAGCGUUAAUCGGAAUUACUGGGCGUAAAGCGCGCGUAGGUGGUUCAGCAAGUUGGAUGUGAAAUCCCCGGGGCUCAACCUGGGAACUGCAUCCAAAACUACUGAGCUAGAGUACGGUAGAGGGUGGUGGAAUUUCCUGUGUAGCGGUGAAAUGCGUAGAUAUAGGAAGGAACACCAGUGGCGAAGGCGACCACCUGGACUGAUACUGACACUGAGGUGCGAAAGCGU
This 438-nucleotide ribosomal RNA is filed under the name uncultured bacterium. Its description in RNAcentral is "bacterial SSU rRNA". It matches the Rfam family "Bacterial small subunit ribosomal RNA", at positions 335 to 762 of the family's 1533-position model. The record is from RNAcentral.